This 240-nucleotide unclassified non-coding RNA is filed under the name Hevea brasiliensis (rubber tree). The record is from RNAcentral. Lineage: Eukaryota; Viridiplantae; Streptophyta; Magnoliopsida; Malpighiales; Euphorbiaceae.
GUUAACUUGAGUCAUGUGUCCCUCAUUAGCACUGCUGUUAAUAAACUAAUGCACACAAUGAUUACUCAACAUCAAAUGCAUAAGCUUUUAGGAAUUCUUUGUACAUCUUCCAUCUCCUCAAUUUAGGCUUCCCUAUCUCCCAAAAAUGUCUCUUCUUCUCUCUUUAAGAAUUCAAGGCUUCUUCAAAAUUUCAAAUAAAAGAUGGUUAGAUUUCAUAUAAUUCUUUCAACUAAAAAAUCU